UGUUUAUAGGGGCAAAGCUGUUGAAAAACUGUGACGCAAAGCCAAAGGGACUAAGGCAGUACGCUAUGUCAGCCGGUUGCAAUA
Coprococcus comes CAG:19 is the source of this 84-nucleotide non-coding RNA. Lineage: Bacteria; Bacillati; Bacillota; Clostridia; Lachnospirales; Lachnospiraceae. The record is from Rfam.